GAUGAAGAACGCAGCGAAAUGCGAUAAGUAAUGUGAAUUGCAGAAUUCAGUGAAUCAUCGAAUCUUUGAACGCACCUUGCGCUCCUUGGCAUUCCGAGGAGCAUGCCUGUUUGAGUGUCAUUAAAUUCUCAAGACCUGUCUGCUUUUUUGAUAGGUAUUGGAUCUUGGGGGUUGCAGGCUGUUUCAAAUAAAUAGCCUUGCUCUCCUUGAAUGUAUUAGUGGAGAAAAGCCAUUGAACUCCAUUGGUGUGAUAACACCUAUCAAUGCCAGGAGCAAUAUCACUACUUCUCUCUGCUGUCUAACUGUGACUGUCUGUAUUAAUUAGUAUGGAUGGGGACAACUUGACCAACUUGACCUCAAAUCAGGUAGGACUACCCGCUGAACUUAAGCAUAUCAAUAAGCGGAGGA
RNAcentral lists this unclassified non-coding RNA (408 nucleotides) under soil metagenome. RNAcentral's name for it is "partial contains 5.8S ribosomal RNA, internal transcribed spacer 2, and large subunit ribosomal RNA". The stretch from base 1 to 120 matches the Rfam family "5.8S ribosomal RNA", at positions 35 to 154 of the family's 154-position model. The record is from RNAcentral.